CCCGUGCGCAGCCAUGUGCUUGAGCCCAAGCCCGUGCUGCGGUCACAGCAUGAGGAGACGAGGUCCCUGGCCUCAGAAUUUGCCUCCUCGUUUUGGAAGUAAGACCCAGCCAGGUGAAGCUAGCAACACCAGAGAGCAUAAAAUUAAGUGCUAAGCUGUACAGUCAAUGUCACAUUUUACGUUAAAAUUAGGAUUUGCCUAAAGAACAUGGAGGUUACUCAGAGACUGAUGGCUGAUUCGUGUCCCUGGGUGUCUUCCCAGCGUGUUCCAGACCCCGCACCACGGAGCCCAGGUGUGCUGCGCCCUCAGAGUGGCAGGUGCCACCUCUCUCUGCAUUUGCCUCUUCCCUUGAGUAUGUGCCCUUCUCUGGGUGAGAUCCCUGUGUGUAUAGAGUGUCAUAUUGCUGUCUCAUGCUGUCACAGGAGAGGGAGGGGCUUGAAAAGCAGAGGGGGAGCUUUGAUGCUGUCCCCGCGGGAGAGGGAUCGCCAGUCUCCAGCGAGAGCGGAAGGGCAUGAAACCAGAUGUGAGGUCCGUGUAAGUGCACGGGUCCUGUGAGGCUGGCAACAGGACAGAUGGUUGAGGUGAUGUUGGGCACCGAAGACACGGGCUCCACCAGCGUUGUGGGGAAGAAUAGGUUGUAGUGGCCGGUGGCUGCCAGGUACAGGGUCACUGCCAUGUUGAAGGGCAACGUGAAGACCGGGAGGUCCCACCUGCUGAAGAUGGAAGUCAAGGCACUGGAAAGAAGUGGGCUGAAGAUGAGAAAGACGAAAGGUUAAUCUGUGCUCAUCCUUAGGUCUACACCGUCUCAUUGGCUCUGGCCACACUGCCGCCCACUGUCCCCUCUCCUUGGCACGGCCAUUCCUGACUCUUGGAAACUCUAGUGGUCUAUUUAUCUGGGACUGGGAAUAAAGUGUUCAAUUCAAGGUGAAUCUUUGAGAAACAAAUUUUCAAGUAUUAUAAUUUGUUUUGAAUAGAAACUUUUAUAUUAAAUAUUUCCAUGUUCCUUAAACCAAGAAAAAGGAACAAAAUGUCUCCUUAGAAAAUGUCAUGUAUUGCCUUUGGAUCAUCGGGAUGUGCAACAGCGACUACCCUGGGCUGUGAUAACACUUUAGAAGUCUGGCCUGGUGGGAGGCUGCUGCUCUGGCACGUACAGAAACUGAAGAAAGGCAUGUACUUCUUAGAGAUGUUAAAAAUUAGUCAGCACGUCUCGGAGCUGCGGGCACGGACUGGAGGCCGCCGGGCACCUCAGGCUUCUGCCCUCUGGUGCUGGCGGGUCUGCGAGUGAUGGAGCCUCAGGCAGCACAGACCUGCCUC
Long non-coding RNA from Ailuropoda melanoleuca (giant panda), 1314 nucleotides. RefSeq lists it as uncharacterized. The record is from RefSeq and is a predicted model, not a curated record. The transcript is spliced from 3 exons. NCBI's taxonomy places the organism in Eukaryota, Metazoa, Chordata, Mammalia, Carnivora, Ursidae.